Heterocephalus glaber (naked mole-rat) is the source of this 790-nucleotide long non-coding RNA. The record is from Ensembl. Lineage: Eukaryota; Metazoa; Chordata; Mammalia; Rodentia; Bathyergidae.
UUUCAAAACCGACAGUGGAAAAUGCCUAACCCGUUUCUCCGCCUAAGAUCAUUCUUGAAGUUUUGGAUCCCCUGCAGAGCACAGCAAGGCUCCGGACUUUGUCCAGCGAGGAGUGACAGGUCUCGGGCCUCUUCCGUCCGCGGGAGGAAGCGGGGCUCCAGGCGGUGCGAGGACUGCGUGUGCCUUCCCCACACCCGCCCUCUGGGGACCUUGCCCCACAGCUUGGCUUUCCAGAGCUUUCUAGCCUACGGGGUCCCAGGGUCGGGACUGCAGGAGAGCCAGCUGGGACCUGACUGCAUCUGAAUCCCGCUGGGACCUGUUGGACCGCGCUUGUGUCGACGCAGUUCCACUCCCUUCACGCCAGGGGCGGCCUACGCGUCCCGAUGUAGAUCACUGCGUGCGUGCACGGAGGUGAAAUGUUUGAAAAAGCAGUUUCAGACUCUUCUUUGAAGAAGGAAGCAAAUGCCUAUGGUGACGAUGUUGAAGGGAGAAUGUUUCAUCCCGGGAUGUCCUACGCCUACUUACCGAUGGCUGUCUGAGAACAGCAAUUUACACUGGAUUUACACUGCAUUUGGUAUCACAAGUGGCCUGAAGGUUUAAAGUGUACAGGAGGGUGUGUGUGUUACACUCACUGUGCCGUUUUACAGAAGGAUCUUGUGUAUCCCCGAUUUUGGCAUCAGUGAGGGGUCCUGGAACACCCAUGCCUGUAUCUCAGCAUGCUGGGGAGGCUGAGUCAGGAGGAUUACAAGUUUCAGACCAGUCUAAGUAAUCUAGCAACCUAGUGAAACCC